Molecule: small nucleolar RNA, 200 nt
Filed under: Trichoderma virens Gv29-8
Lineage: Eukaryota; Fungi; Ascomycota; Sordariomycetes; Hypocreales; Hypocreaceae
Description: small nucleolar RNA snR43
Source: RNAcentral
CCCUCAAAUAUCUGCCCGGAUAGUGCGAUGCCUCUACUGCUAUCACGGUUCCUGGAAUUGAGGGAGAUUACCCCUGCACUUCGAGUCGAUCCACUCAUUCGCAUAAGGAUCGGCUUGCGGUGUGGGCAUGGUGGGAUGUCGUAAUGGAUGGCUCGUGUGGUUACUAUUCACUCGAGUGGUUUUAUAUGCUCCCUACAUCU